AGUAACACGUGGGAAACCUGCCUUGAAGAGGGGGAUAACCCCGGGAAACCGGAGCUAAUACCCCAUAAGACCACAAGAGGACAUCCUCUAGAGGUCAAAUAUUCCGAUGCUUCAAGAUGGUCCCGCGCACUAUCAGCUUGUUGGUGAGGUAAUGGCUCACCAAGGCUAUGACGGUUAGCCGGCCUGAAAGGGUGAUCGGCCACAAUGGAACUGAGACACGGUCCAUACUCC
This 231-nucleotide ribosomal RNA is filed under the name uncultured bacterium. RNAcentral's name for it is "partial 16S ribosomal RNA". It matches the Rfam family "Bacterial small subunit ribosomal RNA", at positions 109 to 339 of the family's 1533-position model. The record is from RNAcentral.